Molecule: transfer RNA, 75 nt
Filed under: uncultured archaeon
Lineage: Archaea
Description: tRNA-Gly(gcc)
Rfam family: tRNA
About the family: Transfer RNA (tRNA) molecules are approximately 80 nucleotides in length. Their secondary structure includes four short double-helical elements and three loops (D, anti-codon, and T loops). Further hydrogen bonds mediate the characteristic L-shaped molecular structure. tRNAs have two regions of fundamental functional importance: the anti-codon, which is responsible for specific mRNA codon recognition, and the 3' end, to which the tRNAs corresponding amino acid is attached (by aminoacyl-tRNA synthetases). tRNAs cope with the degeneracy of the genetic code in two manners: having more than one tRNA (with a specific anti-codon) for a particular amino acid; and 'wobble' base-pairing, i.e. permitting non-standard base-pairing at the 3rd anti-codon position.
Source: RNAcentral
UGCGCCGGUAGUGUAGAGGUUAUCACUGAGCGUUGCCAACGCUUAAACUCGGGUUCAAUUCCCGACCGGCGCAUC